UGCUCUCUGGGUGACGAGCGGCGGACGGGUGAGUAAUGUCUGGGAAACUGCCUGAUGGAGGGGGAUAACUACUGGAAACGGUAGCUAAUACCGCAUAACGUCUUCGGACCAAAGUGGGGGACCUUCGGGCCUCACGCCAUCAGAUGUGCCCAGAUGGGAUUAGCUAGUAGGUGGGGUAAUGGCUCACCUAGGCGACGAUCCCUAGCUGGUCUGAGAGGAUGACCAGCCACACUGGAACUGAGACACGGUCCAGACUCCUACGGGAGGCAGCAGUGGGGAAUAUUGCACAAUGGGCGCAAGCCUGAUGCAGCCAUGCCGCGUGUGUGAAGAAGGCCUUCGGGUUGUAAAGCACUUUCAGCGAGGAGGAAGGGUUCAGUGUUAAUAGCACUGUGCAUUGACGUUACUCGCAGAAGAAGCACCGGCUAACUCCGUGCCAGCAGCCGCGGUAAUACGGAGGGUGCAAGCGUUAAUCGGAAUUACUGGGCGUAAAGCGCACGCAGGCGGUUUGUUAAGUCAGAUGUGAAAUCCCCGCGCUUAACGUGGGAACUGCAUUUGAAACUGGCAAGCUA
RNAcentral lists this ribosomal RNA (569 nucleotides) under Serratia sp. EECC-139. Its description in RNAcentral is "bacterial SSU rRNA". It matches the Rfam family "Bacterial small subunit ribosomal RNA", at positions 77 to 643 of the family's 1533-position model. Lineage: Bacteria; Pseudomonadati; Pseudomonadota; Gammaproteobacteria; Enterobacterales; Yersiniaceae. The record is from RNAcentral.